This 78-nucleotide ribosomal RNA is filed under the name Aristolochia pierrei. RNAcentral's name for it is "partial 5.8S ribosomal RNA". It matches the Rfam family "5.8S ribosomal RNA", at positions 82 to 154 of the family's 154-position model. Rfam says of the family: 5.8S ribosomal RNA (5.8S rRNA) is a component of the large subunit of the eukaryotic ribosome. It is transcribed by RNA polymerase I as part of the 45S precursor that also contains 18S and 28S rRNA. Lineage: Eukaryota; Viridiplantae; Streptophyta; Magnoliopsida; Piperales; Aristolochiaceae. The record is from RNAcentral.
CCGCGAACCAUCGAGUCUUUGAACGCAAGUUGCACCCGAGGCCAUUAGGCCAAGGGUACACCUGCCUGGGCGUCACGC